GCGGAUGUAGUUCAGUGGUAGAACGUCAGCCUCCCAUGCUGAAUGUCGUGGGUUCGAGUCCCAUCAUCCGCU
This 72-nucleotide transfer RNA is filed under the name Chloroflexaceae bacterium. Its description in RNAcentral is "tRNA-Gly". It matches the Rfam family "tRNA". Rfam says of the family: Transfer RNA (tRNA) molecules are approximately 80 nucleotides in length. Their secondary structure includes four short double-helical elements and three loops (D, anti-codon, and T loops). The record is from RNAcentral. Lineage: Bacteria; Bacillati; Chloroflexota; Chloroflexia; Chloroflexales; Chloroflexaceae.